This 579-nucleotide long non-coding RNA is filed under the name Macaca mulatta (Rhesus monkey). RNAcentral describes it as "lncRNA (ENSMMUG00000049005.2)". Lineage: Eukaryota; Metazoa; Chordata; Mammalia; Primates; Cercopithecidae. The record is from RNAcentral.
AUGUGCAGACUCCGCUGGAAUUGGCUUAACUCCGUGUGCGCACACCUGUGGAUGAAGAGCCAGAGUCCCCCAAGGUCAAUGCUGCUGGCCAGUGGCCUGGUGUCUGCAUUAACAGAACAUCUGCAACGCCCUCAAAGCCCAUGGCCACUCUCUAGUCCAGAGGAGAAAAGGAUAAUAAAUAUCACACUAAACAACAUGGAAUACUUCUCAAGUCACCAGAAAGGUGAAACUGGACAGAAUACUUCUGUCCAUAAGGCCCUUAGAAGCCCCCUAAGUGAAAUAGCAGUGAGGACCCCCCCCCCAGCAGCUGCUGUCUCUUCAGUCAGUGUGGAAAGAAGAAACCUGGUGGCCUUGGCCUGGGAAUAUGGCGGUUCCAAGCACAAUGCUGUACUGAAAUGGUACCAGAAGACAGAAGGUUACGCGGCUAGACCAUGCCAUGAAGGAAGAUCCCUUGAUUACAGCCUCCCCAGCCCAUCAGCCACACUGCCAAGGACAUGGGAAAGAAUAAGAAGCCAGAGGGAGACAGCUGCCAGCAGGAGGUUUAGCAUAAAGAAGAUAGGAAUGGUAAUGAGAAAUUGA